RNAcentral lists this ribosomal RNA (346 nucleotides) under uncultured bacterium. RNAcentral describes it as "partial 16S ribosomal RNA". It matches the Rfam family "Bacterial small subunit ribosomal RNA", at positions 373 to 710 of the family's 1533-position model. The record is from RNAcentral.
GGGCGCAAGNNCUGAUGCAGCCAUGCCGCGUGUAUGAAGAAGGCCUUCGGGUUGUAAAGUACUUUCAGCGGGGAGGAAGGGAGUAAAGUUAAUACCUUUGCUCAUUGACGUUACCCGCAGAAGAAGCACCGGCUAACUCCGUGCCAGCAGCCGCGGUAAUACGNAGGNGGCAANMRWWAANNGGAAUUACUGGGCGUAAAGCGCACGCAGGCGGUUUGUUAAGUCAGAUGUGAAAUCCCCGGGCUCAACCUGGGAACUGCAUCUGAUACUGGCAAGCUUGAGUCUCGUAGAGGGGGGUAGAAUUCCAGGUGUAGCGGUGAAAUGCGUAGAGAUCUGGAGGAAUACC